This 3488-nucleotide long non-coding RNA is filed under the name Homo sapiens (human). Its description in RNAcentral is "HSALNT0379028". Lineage: Eukaryota; Metazoa; Chordata; Mammalia; Primates; Hominidae. The record is from RNAcentral.
AGCCGGAGGGGCUGCACUGCACCGAGCUUGCACAGGGCGAGGCGGGGGCAGGACCUGGGACCCAGCCACCCCGGAGGAAACCGGAGAGGAAACCAGCUUGGUCUUGCUCUCUGCCUCGUCCCAAUCCCCGGCUCUUACCAAAUGCAGAUCCGUUGGCUGAAUGCCUUUUAGUCUGCAUACAUGCAUCUCAUACCGCACAGCCCAAAUUUCUACAACUUGUCCAGGUGCAGUCUCCUCAGAACUACAAAGCAAGAAAAGAUCACCUUUGGGCUCAGGAACUCACAGUCGUUCUCCCUCUCCCGGAAGGCACAAUGACCAGGACAGUACCGAGCUUUACAGCCAUAUUGAACUCACCAUCAACUCAGCACAUUCAACUCAAUCAGUCAAAAUCGUCUUUUCCUGCUGGUAAAUAACACUGAAAUCUCUGUAGGACAGACAUCAGACAUGGGUCUCACUGGACUCACAUCAAGAUGCCAGCAGGUUGCAUUCCUUUCUGGAAGCUCUAGGUGGAAAAAUGUGUCCCCUUUUUAAGGUCACAGAUGCCUCCCACAUCCCUUGGCUCAUGGACCCCUUCCUCUUUCUUCAAAGUCAGCAACAUCAUUUCUCUCUGACCCUUCUUCAUGGUCCUCUCUCCCUCUGACUCUGAACUCAGCCAGGAAUGGUUCGUGGAUUUCAAGGACCCUUGUGACUAUAUUUAGUGUCCUCCCAGGUGUACUAGGAUCAUCUUCCCAUUUCAAGGUUUUUAACUUUAUUACAUCUGCACAGUCCCUUUAUCCACAUAAGGGGACAUAUUCAUGGGUCCUGGGGACUAACGUGGGGCAUCUUUAGGGUGCCUUGAUUCUGCCUAUUGCAAUAUCUCAUCACAGAGACUCAGUGGCUCCCCACACAGCUGCAGCCACCAAGCCCAGCACCUCUCUCUCUCCUCUUCAUUGCACAGCUGAACAGAAUGCACAGUGAACAACGUCUUACUCCUUGUGCGAAGAGCUGCUGCAUGAUGAUUUGAAUGCAGGAUAAAAACCACACACUCCCAGCAAACACCGUGCCUUCCCCUUGGUUCAAGGAUGACACUAUUGUUCCCAUCACAUUCAAACAUGUGCAUUUGGAAGAUGUCUCCAUUUCUAGAUCCUUUAUUGUCAGGGAAUAUGAAUUCUCAAGUGCAAGAGAAAUUCAGUUCUGCCAGGUCUAUUAGCCCUUAUGUGCAUUUAAGGAGCCUGAUGUGUCAGGGUUGACACAAUGAACUCCAAGGACACUGCUCAAAAUGGCCCCUCCAACUGGGCACAGCUCUGUACCAGGAACAGUGCCAAUGAGCAUGUGUAUUUGUGUGUUUUUAUACCCAAGUGCUGUAAAAGAAGGCGGUCUGCUUAAAGACUUACAGUUCCAAAGAAGGCAAAUGUAAGGGCAAAAUUCAUGAUGCUCUGUCACCUUGAGCUUCAGCUUCCUGCCUUGUUGAUGAGGAAAAUGAUCCCUACUAAGCCGGGUGUUGUAAAUAGUAGGCAAUAUCAUAAAACCCCUAGCAAGAUGCACUACAUACAAGGCAAUGAAGAAAAAGUGGCUACUUUUUCUUCACUUUUGUUUGUUCUCUGAUCUGUGCAAUUAUUUGUACCAAAUAUACUUGAAGUAUGAAGUUGGUGGCUAUUGUCACAAAGGUAACAAAACCUGCUUUUAAGAGACUUGGAGUUUAUCAAAGGUUACAUGUAGACAGAAUGAGGCCCAGUAGACUUUUCACCAGGAAGGCAGACUUUGUCCUGGGCCUUGGAAGAUUGCAAAGAGAGGAAGAAAGAAAAAGUUUCUCCUUACACUGGGAAAAGUUCAUGCAAAGGCAGAGAGGAAGAGCAGAGCCCGAGAUGUUCAAGACAGGGCUAGUGUGUAGCAAGUAAGUGAUGUGGACACACACAGCCAGUUUUCCUGCUGGUUUACCAGGUAAAAUCAAAAGACCCUCAUGCCAGCCAGGCGCAGUGGCUCACUCCUGUAAUCCCAGAACUUUGGGAGGCCAAGGCGGGCAGAUCACGAGGUCAGGAGAUCGAGACCAUCCUGGCCAACACGGUGAAACCCCGUCUCUACUAAAAAUACAAAAAAUUAGCCGGACGUGGUGGCAGGUGCCUGUAGUCCCAGCUACUUGGGAGGCUGAGGCAGGAGAAUGGCGUGAACCUGGGAGGUGUAGCUUGCAGUGAGCAGAGAUCCAGCCACUACACUCCAGCCUGGCCGACAGAGGGACUCCGUCUGAAAAAAAAAAAAAAAAGAGAAAAAAAGAAAAAAAAAAGGCCCUCAUGCCUACUCUCACCACCUCCAAAUACCCGAGUUGAAGGUAGAAUGUUCUGGCCUUGAAUCAGGAGAGCUAUUCCAAAGCACCUGUUGUACAAGAAGCACACUUCUCAGACUUUGGCAAGAAAAAGUCUUCCUGCCCUUUUAAAUAGUCUUUGUGAUGGUUAAUAUUAAGUGUCAACUUGAUUGGAUUGAAGUAUGCAAAGUAUUAUUUCUGGGCAUAUCUGGGUAUUUCUGGGUGUUGCCAAAAGAGGUGAACAUUUGAGUCAGUGGCCUGGGAGAAGAAGACCCACCCUCAGGAAGACCCACCCACAACAUGGGUAGCACCAUCCAGUCGGCUGCUAGUGUGGCUAGUAAAAGCAGGCAUGGUUGGGCGCAGUGGCUCAUGCCUGUAAUCCCAGGACUUCGGGAGGUCAGGAGUUCAAGACCAGCUUGGCUAACAUGGUGAAGCCUCAUCUCUACAAAAAUACAAAAGUUAGCCAGGCAUAAUGGUGGGUGCCUGUAAUCCAAGCUACUCAGGAGGCUGAGGUGGGAGAAUUGCUUGAACCCUGGAGAUGGAGCUUGCAGUGAGCCGAGUUAGUGCCAUUGCACUACAGCUUGGGUGACAGAGCAAGACUCCGUCUCAAAUAAAUAAAUAAAUAAUAAAAAUAAAGUAAAAACAGGCAGGAGAAAUGGGAGAAGAUGACUUAGAUCACCUCCUGAGUCUUCCAGCCUUCAUCUUUCUCCUAUGAUGGAUACUUCCUGUCCCCGAACAUCAGAUUGCAAGUUCUUCAGCUUUUGGACUCUUGGACCUAGACCAGUGGUUUGCCAGGGACUCCUCUUGGGUCUUUGGCGUUGGCCACAGACUGAAGUCUGCACUGUCGGCUUCCCUACUUUUGAGGUUUGGGGACUUGAAUUGAGCUACUACUGGCUUCCUUGACCCUCAACUUGCAGAUGACCUGUAGUGGGACUUCACCUUGUGAUCCUGUGAGUCAAUUCUCUUUAAUAAACUCUCUUUUGUAUAUACAUAUAUCCUAUUAGUUCAGUCCCUCUAGAGGACCCUGUCUAAUAAAAUUCUCAUAUGUCCCCAACAUGGGUUACAUGUGUCAUAUGUGCCAUCUCCUGUCAUCUGCAUCACACGUGCAGAUCAUUGUGUGGUGCACAUCAUUGGCCCAAUGUUCCAGGAAAAAGCUCAAAUUCAGAGAGGCUAAGUAACCACACAGCUAGUGGUAAGUUUUUCACCAAGG